RNAcentral lists this ribosomal RNA (460 nucleotides) under uncultured bacterium. Its description in RNAcentral is "partial 16S ribosomal RNA". It matches the Rfam family "Bacterial small subunit ribosomal RNA", at positions 338 to 795 of the family's 1533-position model. The record is from RNAcentral.
CCUACGGGUGGCAGCAGUGAGGAAUAUUGGUCAAUGGACGAGAGUCUGAACCAGCCAAGUAGCGUGAAGGAUGACUGCCCUAUGGGUUGUAAACUUCUUUUAUAUGGGAAUAAAACGUUCCACGUGUGGGAUUUUGUAUGUACCAUAUGAAUAAGGAUCGGCUAACUCCGUGCCAGCAGCCGCGGUAAUACGUAGGAUCCGAGCGUUAUCCGGAUUUAUUGGGUUUAAAGGGAGCGUAGGUGGAUUGUUAAGUCAGUUGUGAAAGUUUGCGGCUCAACCGUAAAAUUGCAGUUGAAACUGGCAGUCUUGAGUACAGUAGAGGUGGGCGGAAUUCGUGGUGUAGCGGUGAAAUGCUUAGAUAUCACGAAGAACUCCGAUGGCGAAGGCAGUUCACUGGACUGCAACUGACACUGAGGCUCGAAAGUGUGGGUAUCAAACAGGAUUAGAUACCCUAGUAGUC